Molecule: long non-coding RNA, 219 nt
Filed under: Elaeis guineensis (African oil palm)
Lineage: Eukaryota; Viridiplantae; Streptophyta; Magnoliopsida; Arecales; Arecaceae
Description: long non-coding RNA (EGUI_LNC045651)
Source: RNAcentral
AUAGAAUCUUUUUCUUUUCCUUCUUUAAGUAUUUUUCUAGCUCUUUUGUCAUAAUUCCUUCUAGAUUCAUAUUGAUAACUUGAUUCUUUUCUAUCUAAAACCUUUUGAUGCUUAUAUUGAUUUCUAAAAGUCACUCUAAAACUUGAUCAAGAAAUUUUUAUUUGUAAAGUAUCAAGACUAAUUUCAAAGACCUUUUCCUUUUUUGACUAUUCUUCUAGG